This is a long non-coding RNA of Neopsephotus bourkii (Bourke's parrot), 1432 nucleotides long. RefSeq lists it as uncharacterized. NCBI's taxonomy places the organism in Eukaryota, Metazoa, Chordata, Aves, Psittaciformes, Psittacidae. The record is from RefSeq and is a predicted model, not a curated record. The transcript is spliced from 2 exons.
AAAGUCUGUAAGGAACUUUAUUUGUGUAUGUUUAACUGCAUAUCAAGACAGUCACAUGAAUGGAUAGGAAUAUGCAGGUAAGACUUCUACAGGAAAUUAGAAGCUCUCAUAUUUUUGUGUCUGAUUUUCAAUCAGUCUUCUUUAUUAUGAUCUUUCUUAUUGUGUGGCUUUAAAUUAGAGGUGGCACCAUUUUCACAUUUUAAACUCUUGUAAUUUUGUGGUGGGUUCAGCCUGCACCCAGCCAGCUUCUCAGUUACUUCCUUCUCUCAUGCAAUGGCAAGAGAACAGAAGGAAAAUAAGACUCAUGUCUCAGAAUAGUAGCAGUUUAAUAGGUAAAGCAAAAGUUACAUGCAGAAGGAAAGCAAAACCAGAGCUUCCUUAGUUAUUUUGUAUUGUCAGGCAGACACAAACAUCUCAUCCUCUUCCUUUCCCCGGGCUUUUACAACUGAAUAUGGCAUCAUCUGAUAUAGAAUAUCCCCUUGGUUAGUUUGUGCUCAAUGUCCUCUGUACAUCUGCCCCUGAUUUCUUGCCCACCCCAGCAUACUCGCUGCAGGGAAAAAAAUUUGAUACUGUGCAAGUUUUUUUAGUGAUAGCCAAGCAUUACAUAACCAAAGAAGGGGUUCUUUGCAUUGACUUUUGAAAUGAGAAGACCGGCCUCACCUAUACAGAGAAGUUGAAAGAAUGUAAACGUGGGAUAUCAUUGCACAUUUCCUGUACUUUACAUUAAUAUUAAUUUGGUACACAUGAGUUUACAAGACCAGGAACCAAGUACAGCAGGGUUCCGUAGAUAAGACCCAAAAAUAACAACUGUUUCUACUGCUUUACAGUUUCUGUGGUCACCUCUACAUGCAAAGUGACCAUACAGACACACUACCAUAUUGUCUACUCAAAUUCCUAGUCUUUUAUAUUUCUUCCUGAUGACUCGUCAUUAUUCUCCCAGAAAUGUCAUCUAUCAAGUUCACUAGUAGGUUUACUAACCUCUCAAAGUACACCCUUCAUAUUAAUAUUACGUCCCGCUCCCACCACACCUUACUGAAUUUAGAGUGCUGAGUCUGAACUUCAUCCUACUGAAAAAAACAGCGUUACUAAAAUACAGGCUUUCAAUUCAGGCAUUAUAUCCCUGUGUAGUCUCCUUUCUGAAGUUACGAGAACAAGCCUUAAGACCUUUCAUUGAUGUGAUACAGCCUCAUUGCUUUCUUCUUAGAGUAAAAUACAAUAGUCUUAAUAAGUUUUUUUCUCAAAAAUAAGGAGAGAUGGGGCUAGAAUUAUCCUGUCAUGCAUGUGGAGUAUCUGAGUAUUAGAUUGCUGAAAGUGGAAUAGUACAAACAUACUUUUUUGGAAGCACAUUCUGAACAAAUAAGUUCAAGACUUACGUUUCUUUGUAUCAGAAACAAGAAUUGUAAAUAUGAAAACGUAUAAAAAUAAAAAAGCA